ACGCGUGGGAAGCUACCCUGUAGUACGGAAUAGCCUAGGGAAACUUAGAGUAAUACCGUAUACGCCCUUAGGGGGAAAGAUUUAUUGCUAUAGGAUGUGCCCGCGUUAGAUUAGCUAGUUGGUGAGGUAAUGGCUCACCAAGGCAACGAUCUAUAGCUGGUUUGAGAGGAUGAUCAGCCACACUGGGACUGAGACACGGCCCAGACUUCUACGGAAGGCAGCAGUGAGGAAUAUUGCACAAUGGGCGAAAGCCUGAUGCGGCUAUGCCGCGUGAGUGAUGAAGGCUUUAGGGUUGUAAAACUCUUUCACCGGUGAAGAUAAUGACGGGUAGCCGGGAGAAGAAGUCCCGGCUAACUCCGUGCCAGCCGCAGCGGG
Molecule: ribosomal RNA, 375 nt
Filed under: uncultured Alphaproteobacteria bacterium
Lineage: Bacteria; Pseudomonadati; Pseudomonadota; Alphaproteobacteria
Description: bacterial SSU rRNA
Rfam family: Bacterial small subunit ribosomal RNA
Source: RNAcentral